GACGAACGCUGGCGGCGCGCCUAACACAUGCAAGUCGAACGAGCGAGAGAGAGCUUGCUUUCUCGAGCGAGUGGCGAACGGGUGAGUAACGCGUGAGGAACCUGCCUCAAAGAGGGGGACAACAGUUGGAAACGACUGCUAAUACCGCAUAAGCCCACGACCCGGCAUCGGGUAGAGGGAAAAGGAGCAAUCCGCUUUGAGAUGGCCUCGCGUCCGAUUAGCUAGUUGGUGAGGUAACGGCCCACCAAGGCGACGAUCGGUAGCCGGACUGAGAGGUUGAAGCGCAACUGGGGGACUGAGACACGGCCCAGACCCCGAGGGGGGGAGGCGGGGGGGAAUAUGGCAAAAGGGGGGAACCCCUGAGGCGGCGCGGCGGGGGGGAGAAAGAAGGUCUUGGGAUUGAAAACUCUUGUGGUAGAGGAAAAAAAUGAGGGUACUAAACAAGGAAGUGAGGGCUAACUACGUC
RNAcentral lists this ribosomal RNA (466 nucleotides) under uncultured bacterium. RNAcentral describes it as "partial 16S ribosomal RNA". It matches the Rfam family "Bacterial small subunit ribosomal RNA", at positions 28 to 507 of the family's 1533-position model. The record is from RNAcentral.